This is a non-coding RNA of Pandoraea pnomenusa, 182 nucleotides long. Lineage: Bacteria; Pseudomonadati; Pseudomonadota; Betaproteobacteria; Burkholderiales; Burkholderiaceae. The record is from Rfam.
UUUUCCCUGCCUGGUUCGCGAAAGUCAUAGAUUCCUUGAACCAAUGAUCUGUUGCAGGUUGCGGAAGUUUGUAGUGCUGGCGUGAGCGUCACUCUGUCUGAUGAACCCAAAGCGCUACUAACCGCGACCACCUUGAACCUCACGGUUCAGGAUGCCGGCUUAGCGGCUGAGGCGGGGACCCA